AUCUCAUCAAGAACGGCUGAGGGAACAGGCCCGAUGACGCCGUAGCAACCGGGCAUCUCCUGCCGGCAGGGAGGUGCCGUCCGGUGCUAAAUCCUGCCCGGAACGCAGACCGGGAGCGAUGAGGG
This 125-nucleotide non-coding RNA is filed under the name Rhodothermus marinus. Its description in RNAcentral is "SAM-I sequence". It matches the Rfam family "SAM riboswitch aptamer (S box leader)". From Rfam's summary of the family: The SAM riboswitch is found upstream of a number of genes which code for proteins involved in methionine or cysteine biosynthesis in Gram-positive bacteria. The SAM riboswitch acts at the level of transcription termination control. RNAcentral also lists the same sequence under 1 other name. Lineage: Bacteria; Pseudomonadati; Rhodothermota; Rhodothermia; Rhodothermales; Rhodothermaceae. The record is from RNAcentral.